ACGUACAAGCAGUAGGAGCCCUUCGAGGGUGACUGCGUACCUUUUGUAUAAUGGGUCAGCGACUUAUAUUUUGUAGCGAGGUUAACCGAUUAGGGUAGCCGUAGGGAAACCGAGUCUUAACUGGGCGUAUAGUUGCAAGGUAUAGACCCGAAACCCGGUGAUCUAGCCAUGGGCAGGUUGAAGGUUGAGUAACAUCAACUGGAGGACCGAACCCACUAACGUUGAAAAGUUAGGGGAUGACCUGUGGCUAGGAGU
Molecule: ribosomal RNA, 255 nt
Filed under: Pseudoalteromonas shioyasakiensis
Lineage: Bacteria; Pseudomonadati; Pseudomonadota; Gammaproteobacteria; Alteromonadales; Pseudoalteromonadaceae
Description: partial 23S ribosomal RNA
Rfam family: Bacterial large subunit ribosomal RNA
Source: RNAcentral